Molecule: ribosomal RNA, 492 nt
Filed under: uncultured bacterium
Lineage: Bacteria
Description: partial 16S ribosomal RNA
Rfam family: Bacterial small subunit ribosomal RNA
Source: RNAcentral
AGUGAACGCUGGCGGUAGGCCUAACACAUGCAAGUCGAACGGCAGCACAGUAAGAGCUUGCUCUUACGGGUGGCGAGUGGCGGACGGGUGAGGAAUACAUCGGAAUCUACUUUUUCGUGGGGGAUAACGUAGGGAAACUUACGCUAAUACCGCAUACGACCUACGGGUGAAAGCAGGGGAUCUUCGGACCUUGCGCGAUUGAAUGAGCCGAUGUCGGAUUAGCUAGUUGGCGGGGUAAAGGCCCACCAAGGCGACGAUCCGUAGCUGGUCUGAGAGGAUGAUCAGCCACACUGGAACUGAGACACGGUCCGGACUCCUACGGGAGGCAGCAGUGGGGAAUAUUGGACAAUGGGCGCAAGCCUGAUCCAGCCAUACCGCGUGGGUGAAGAAGGCCUUCGGGUUGUAAAGCCAUUUUGUUGGGAAAGAAAAGCAGCAGGUUAAUACCCCGCUGUUCUGACGGUACCCAAAGAAUAAGCACCGGCUAACUUCGUG